GAUGAACGCUAGCGGGAGGCCUAACACAUGCAAGCCGAGCGGUAUUUGUCUUUCGGGACAGAGAGAGCGGCGUACGGGUGCGGAACACGUGUGCAACCUGCCUUUAUCUGGGGGAUAGCCUUUCGAAAGGAAGAUUAAUACCCCAUAAUAUAUUGAUUCGCAUGGAUUGAUAUUGAAAACUCCGGUGGAUAGAGAUGGGCACGCGCAAGAUUAGAUAGUUGGUGAGGUAACGGCUCACCAAGUCAGUGAUCUUUAGGGGGCCUGAGAGGGUGAUCCCCCACACUGGUACUGAGACACGGACCAGACUCCUACGGGAGGCAGCAGUGAGGAAUAUUGGACAAUGGGUGAAAGCCUGAUCCAGCCAUCCCGCGUGAAGGACGACGGCUCUAUGGAUUGUAAACUUCUUUUAUAUAGGGAUAAACCUACUUACGUGUAAGUAGCUGAAGGUACUAUAUGAAUAAGCACCGGCUAACUCCGUGCCAGCCGCCGCGGUAA
RNAcentral lists this ribosomal RNA (495 nucleotides) under uncultured bacterium. RNAcentral's name for it is "partial 16S ribosomal RNA". It matches the Rfam family "Bacterial small subunit ribosomal RNA", at positions 28 to 523 of the family's 1533-position model. The record is from RNAcentral.